CUUCCUUCCUUCCUUCCUUCCUUCCUUCCUUCCUUCCUUCCUUCCUUCCUUCCUUCCUUCCUUCCUUCCUUCCUUCCUUCCUCCCUUCCUCCCUUCCUCCCUUCCUCCCUUCCUCCCUUCCUCCCUUCCUCCCUUCCUCCCUUCCUCCCUUCCUCCCUUCCUCCCUUCCUCCCUUCCUCCCUUCCUCCCUUCCUCCCUUCCUCCCUCCCGCAGAUCUGUCUUGGUCACUCCUCACCAGACUCAAAGGGCUGUAAAAUUGUAGCUCACCAAAUGCAGCCAGACCACAGUGAAACAGGCCCUACCAGUUAGGAAACAACUGGGCAAGUUCCCCCCUUCCCUUCUGUUGGACAAGCCACUGCUUCAUGCUGACACAAAGGACUCUUUCUCUGGCAAAAAGCAAGAAUUGAAACAGGAGGUCCAUCUAAAGGGACAUCAUUAGGGAAAUCAAUCCCAGUGAGGAAAUCAGGAUUAAGUCAUCAGCUAUUACUCCGCACAGGAAUGCGUCAUUUCAGCUCUGCUCCUGUUGAGGUCACAACUGCUGUUCUCCAUAGGGUGGUGGUUGUGUUUACCUUCCUGUCAUUAAUCCACAGACAGCCUUUGGAUGUUGAAAAGGCCACUCCUAUGUACAACAUGACAGCUACAUUGACUCUCCAGCUUGGGGAAGAAUUCAUAAUCUAAUGAGUGUGAUCACAAAUGAGAAUUAUUUCUCACAGACACUGUAUAUUCUAAGAAAGGACAUGGAAUCUUCAAAUCCAACAGCUGCUCCCCUGGACUAUUCUACCUUAUGCUGACAAAAAAACAGAAGCUGUUAAACAGGGAAGAUUGCUGAACUAGCCUAUCUUGUAUUAUUUCUCCUUACAUUUGUGUUGGAAAAUACAUGU
Passer domesticus (house sparrow) is the source of this 881-nucleotide long non-coding RNA. RefSeq lists it as uncharacterized. NCBI's taxonomy places the organism in Eukaryota, Metazoa, Chordata, Aves, Passeriformes, Passeridae. The transcript is spliced from 3 exons. The record is from RefSeq and is a predicted model, not a curated record.